AACGAACGCUGGCGGCAUGCCUAACACAUGCAAGUCGAACGAGACCUUCGGGUCUAGUGGCGCACGGGUGCGUAACGCGUGGGAAUCUGCCCUUUGCUUCGGAAUAACAGUUAGAAAUGACUGCUAAUACCGGAUGAUGUCUUCGGACCAAAGAUUUAUCGGCAAAGGAUGAGCCCGCGUAGGAUUAGGUAGUUGGUGGGGUAAAGGCCUACCAAGCCGACGAUCCUUAGCUGGUCUGAGAGGAUGAUCAGCCACACUGGGACUGAGACACGGCCCAGACUCCUACGGGAGGCAGCAGUGGGAAUAUUGGACAAUGGGCGCAAGCCUGAUCCAGCAAUGCCGCGUGAGUGAUGAAGGCCUCGGUCGUAAAGACUCUUUACCUAGGGAGUGAUAAU
Molecule: ribosomal RNA, 395 nt
Filed under: uncultured bacterium
Lineage: Bacteria
Description: bacterial SSU rRNA
Rfam family: Bacterial small subunit ribosomal RNA
Source: RNAcentral